Molecule: ribosomal RNA, 346 nt
Filed under: uncultured bacterium
Lineage: Bacteria
Description: bacterial SSU rRNA
Rfam family: Bacterial small subunit ribosomal RNA
Source: RNAcentral
AGUACAGGUGGUGCAUGGCUGUCGUCAGCUCGUGUCGUGAGAUGUUGGGUUAAGUCCCGCAACGAGCGCAACCCUUAUUCUUAGUGUUUCCCUUUGGGAUUACCCUCUAAGAAGACUGCCUCGGAUAACGGGGAGGAAGUGGGAUGACGUCAAGUCCGCAUGCUCCUUACGUCUAGGGCUACACACGUCCUACAAUGGGGUCGACAAUGGGAUGCAAUAUCGCAAGAUGGAGCCAAUCCCCAAACGGCCUCUCAGUUCGGAUUGUAGUCUGCAACUCGACUACAUGGAGUUGGAAUCGCUAGUAAUGGCAGAUCAGCAUGCUGCCGUGAAUACGUUCCCGGGUCUU